UUGAGUGGUUAAGGCUCCCAGUAGACGACUGGGUUGAUAGGCCAGAUGUGGAAGCCCGGUAACGGGUGGAGCUGACUGGUACUAAUAGGCCGAGGGCUUGUCCUCAGUUG
This 110-nucleotide ribosomal RNA is filed under the name Streptomyces sp. FT05W. RNAcentral's name for it is "partial 23S ribosomal RNA". It matches the Rfam family "Bacterial large subunit ribosomal RNA", at positions 2820 to 2925 of the family's 2925-position model. The record is from RNAcentral. Lineage: Bacteria; Bacillati; Actinomycetota; Actinomycetes; Kitasatosporales; Streptomycetaceae.